Molecule: non-coding RNA, 73 nt
Organism: Callorhinus ursinus (northern fur seal)
Lineage: Eukaryota; Metazoa; Chordata; Mammalia; Carnivora; Otariidae
Source: the annotation of a RefSeq genome assembly
GCCUGGCUGGCUCAGUUGGUAGAGCAUGAGACUCUUGAUCUCAGGGUCAUGAGUUUGAGCCCCACGUUGGGCA